This 478-nucleotide ribosomal RNA is filed under the name uncultured organism. RNAcentral's name for it is "partial 16S ribosomal RNA". It matches the Rfam family "Bacterial small subunit ribosomal RNA", at positions 331 to 800 of the family's 1533-position model. The record is from RNAcentral.
GUACACUCCUACGGGAGGCAGCAGUGGGGAAUUUUGGACAAUGGGCGAAAGCCUGAUCCAGCAAUGCCGCGUGAGUGAAGAAGGCCUUCGGGUUGUAAAGCUCUUUUGUCAGGGAAGAAACGGUGAGAGCUAAUAUCUCUUGCUAAUGACGGUACCUGAAGAAUAAGCACCGGCUAACUACGUGCCAGCAGCCGCGGUAAUACGUAGGGUGCAAGCGUUAAUCGGAAUUACUGGGCGUAAAGCGUGCGCAGGCGGUUUUGUAAGUCUGAUGUGAAAUCCCCGGGCUCAACCUGGGAAUUGCAUUGGAGACUGCAAGGCUAGAAUCUGGCAGAGGGGGGUAGAAUUCCACGUGUAGCAGUGAAAUGCGUAGAUAUGUGGAGGAACACCGAUGGCGAAGGCAGCCCCCUGGGUCAAGAUUGACGCUCAUGCACGAAAGCGUGGGGAGCAAACAGGAUUAGAAACCCGGGUAGUCCCAUGA